Sapajus apella (tufted capuchin) is the source of this 8772-nucleotide long non-coding RNA. RefSeq lists it as uncharacterized. The record is from RefSeq and is a predicted model, not a curated record. The transcript is spliced from 2 exons. NCBI's taxonomy places the organism in Eukaryota, Metazoa, Chordata, Mammalia, Primates, Cebidae.
UGCCAUUGACACUGAAAAAUAGGGUGAAGGACAAGGGGACCUAUAGAGAAAAGGUGCCCUCGUGACCUCGGGGCAGAGAGAGCACCAAGCAGAAAGUCAUGGCUAACACGGAGCAGCAGUAAGUGAAUGAAAUUAACGUCAGUAAUUUGAAGAAAGGAUGAAGAAGAAAACCUUUGGGUUCGGCAAAGGGAAAUGGGGCAAGAGGUUCUGGGCAGAGAACACCUGGAGCGCUGGACCCUCUCGUAGGAGUCACAGUUUUUCCCCCACAUUAAGAGAUGGGUUAGACACCAUUCCCAGCCUGCUUACCUUUCUAAAUACGAGGAAGACUGGGUUAUUUUCCCCAAUUAGUAAUAGAAUUUGGGACCCGUUUAUCUGUGGUUCAGAUUUUACUCAGUUGGAAUUAGCAAUUCGGAGAGCACUGUAAUGACAGCAAGCUAUCUAUAACCAAGUGGUGUCAGUUAACUCCCUUGCUGACAGGCGUGCUCCCUGAUAGGCCAAAACCAUAACUAUCUUUCCAAAACAUAGACUGCCUUAAAUUCGUAUAUAAAUAUGAUUGUCCUAGAUCUGAAAAAUACAGUGAUGUUCUCUGUGCACAGGUCAUUUUGGUAGCCAUAGGGAUCCUUAACUUAUGAAUGCAGCUAUGGUUGUAGUGCCUCUUAAUAUUUGAGUUCAUUAUUACCUCUCAGGAACGGUUUUUAAAAAAAUUAUUUGUACUUAACUGUACUAAAGUAUAUCUUUUUAUUUUCUAUGUAUUGACAAGAGGUUUAAUUGCCAUCACUUAUUUAUCAGUAGCACUUUAAAAUAUUGUCAGCUUUGUAUGAGAAACUACUGCUUACAUUUUGAUUCUUCAUCUACAAAUAUUUAACGUCUACCUUGUACAUAGCCCUGUGCUAGAUAAUAGGAUACUAAGAAAGACAUACAGUUGUGCUAUCAAGGAUUGUACAGUUUAGUUAAGGAGACUGGAUCUAUGCAUGACAAAAAUAACUGAAAAACACAAUGGUGGGUUAAUGAGCAAAUGAAUAGUAUGUGCAGUAAAGGGUAUAGGCAUCCAGAGGAAAUAGUGAUAAUUAAGGACCAGAUUAUAGAGAGUAUUUCAUGCUGGUGAUACAACUGGGAAGAAUAUUCUGAACAGGGAGAAAUAGAGAAUGACACUAAGCAUGUGGAAGGCUGAUGGAAUGAGACUUAUAAUUUAUUCGGUAAUUAUUGAAUACCUCUACAGGAACAAACAAAACAAAAUAUAAGCCCCAUCUUUAAAGAACUUAAAAUCUAGUCAGAAAUAUAUAAAUUAAUAGGCAAUUAAAAUAUAGUAGAAAUGUGUAAUAAUGGGGAAGGUACAAGGUAUGGGAGAGUACAUAUGAGGGGCACUAAGUCUAAUCUUAAGGUAGGGAAGAUUGCCUUGAAUAACUGAUACCUAAGGCAAGAACUGAAAAAUUAGAAGUUUGUCAGUUAAAAAAGGAAUAGCAUGUGCAAAGGCCCGCAGGUCAGAGAGAGCAUGGAACUUUUGUAGAACUGCACAUAGUUUAGACUGUAGUGAGGCGUUCAAGAUAGGAAAUAGCAGAAGGUUAGGCUAGAGAAGCAAAUCCAGAUGAUUUUAUUAAUGUUUUUAAAGUAUUUUAUGAUUGAAAGUUUGUAACACAUGAUCUCUUGGGAAUGGUUUUUAUUCUAUAGUUCUCCAAUAAAGCAGAUGAAGUUAAGAUAAAAUUUGUAGGACUUUCUUAAGCUGGAAGAAUGAGGGGGAAGAGGGAAAAGGAAAAGUUGUUAGGAAUCUCAGUGGUGGCAAUAGCAAUACAUAUUUAGCUUUCUCUCUUUCCAAGAGCAUUAUCUCCAUGACUUCCUUCUUCCACUCUGUCCUUUACAUCUUACCAUUUCCUUUGGUUACCAUUUCCUCAGUGUGAAAAACAAGGGAAAGGUGUUACCUUUGUUUUCUCUUUCUUAAAGGCAUGGAACUCUUGCCAUCCUUUUUUAAAAUAUGGAUUUAACAGGGUAAGGAAGGAAUGAUUAUAAAGUUUUCAAAGUAGAAGCUGAGCUAACCUGAGGUACUUGCAAAUUCAUGACUUGUGAUUAAGAUUACAAAAUAAUUAUUAAAUAUAUACUUUUAGGAUAAUCAUUAGUAUAUAGCAUAAUAUUAGAGCUGAAAAGAACCUCAGAGCAGUGUUAUGAAACAAUAUUAGUGGGUUGGAUUAGCACUUUUUAGAUGAAAUUCAGUAGAAUAAAAAAGAAAAUAGCAGUGCUUUUUACAUCUUAAGUGUUGUUUCAUGCACUUUUAUGUGUGUGUACACACACACACAUACACACAUAUAUAUAAUCCCACAUGUAUGUGAUUACUGGAAUUCAUUGUAAAAUGUAUUUCUCACCUGGUAUAUGCUGGGCUGUGGAAUAUGGUAGUUCUUUUGGAUAGGUACUGUUUUGUUUUCAUUUAUUGGUUCUGACCUCAUGGACAAAGAAUGGGAGCUUUAAUUUCUUCCAGCAGCAAAUUCCAUCUUUCCACUCUUCCACCAUUGGCUGCUAAUAGUUAACCAAGAAGAUAAAAGUUAAAAUACUUUACUCCUGGCUUUCAUAUUAACUGAAGUGGGAAUAUAAUAAUAACAAUAGGCAAAUAAUCCUCCUACUCUACUUUUUAGAGGUUCUAGUUUAAAUUUCACAAUAUAAGAUGUAUAUGAAGAAACUAUAGUGAUUACUCAACAGAACCAAAAUGUACUAUAAGAAUAAAAAACAGAACUUAGAGGAGAAAUAAGGAUGUCUUUAAGUGGAUUAUGUCAUGGAACUGAAAAGGGUGAGAGGUGAUUUAAUGACACUUAAAGUACCUGAAGGGGCCUGGCACAGUUGCUCACACCUGUAAUCCCAGCACUUUGCGAGGCCGAGGCGGGUAGAUCACCUGAGGUCAAGAGUUCGAGACCUGACCAAUAUCACUAUAUGUACAAAGUACUGCUAUUUUUUUUUUUUUUUACGCUUAAGAUGUAAAAAGCUCUGCUAUUUUUUUUUUUUUAUAUUCUACUGAAUUUCAUCUAAAAAGUGCUAAUCCAACCCACUAAUAUUGUUUCAUAACACUGCUUUUAGGUUCCUUUCAGCUUUAAUAUUACACUAUAUACUAAUGAUUAUCCUAAGGUAUAAAUUCAAUAAUUAUUUUGUAAUACCAUACCGUCUCUACUAAACAUACAAAAAGUAGCUGGGCAUGGUGAUGUGCACCUAUAGUUCCAGCUACUCAGGAGGCUGAGACAGGAGAAUUGCUUGAACCCAGGAGGCAGAGGUUGCAGUGAGCUGAGAUUAUGCCACUGCACUGCAGCCUAGGUAACAAAGUGAGACUCCGUCUCAAAAAAUAAAAGUACCCGAAGGGGUUAUUUGUAGUUCAAUGAUGCCUAAACUUACUUGGAACAUUCGGUUAUUAUAUAAAGAUGUGGACUUCAUUUGCAAGAAGAGGGAUUUAAUGUGCAUAUGAGAAAUAAUUUCUUAAACUAAUAGUCUAUCUUAGUCUGUUUGGGCUGGCAUAACAAAAUACCAGAAGCUACAUGACUUAUAAACAAGAGCAGUUUAUUUCUCACAGAUUAAGGUGCUGACACAUUUAGUGUCUGGUGAGGUCUCGCUCCCCAUACAAGCCCUCAUUAGACACUUGGUUCAUAGGCAGUGGCUUUUAGCUGUGUCCUCACAUGGUAGAAGAGACAAGGCAGCUUUUUGGCCUCUCUUAUAAGGGGACUAAUUCUUUUUAUGAGAGCUCAAAUCUCCUGUCCUAAUCACCUCCCAAUGGCCACACCUUUUAAUACCAUCGCAUUGGUAAUUAAGUUUCAAUAUAGGAAUUUUGGGGGGACACAAACCUUAAAAGCAUAGCCUGUUUAUUAGGAGACCAAGAAAGACUUUAAAAAUUUUUAAACCAUAAUUUACUGUCAUUAGAAAAAUGUUAGCUAUUAGGAAGCAGCCAACUUGGUUUUGUGAAGAGCAAGACAUACCAAACCAAUUCUUCAUGUGAGUGAGUAACAGUCUAUCUUGAUUUCAGUAAGGCUUUUAAUUGUCCCCUACAUUGUUCUCACCCAGUAAGCUUGGAAGGAAUGAUAUUGAAUACUAUUAAGAGGGCUUGAGGUAGUAGUAAGCCUUACUGUAAAGAAAAUACAGAUGACUUAAAGGAUUUUUAUUUCUAAAUGUUAAAAAUAAUGAAUUAACUGUUAUACAAAGGGCGUAACAUGGUAUUGUGGAGUGAACACUGGACCAGGACACUUCAUCACCUGAGCUCUGCUUGUACUGUUAAUUAUCUUGGGCAGAUAACUUGUUCCUUUGGACAUCAGAUUCUGUAAACUAGUAAUAUUUCACUAGCAGAUCUCUAAGGUUUCUUGCAACUCUCUUGUUUCCUCACUGAAAUCCUUUAGGACCAACCCUUUGUAUAUAGUACCUCUACUUUGUGAUUGUAUUUAGGAGCAACAUAGAGUAAGUUUAAGUUCACAUGAAUUUUUUAUGGGACAAAUUUGUAUUGUUCUUGUCAUAUUUGUAUAUCUAAGAGUAGGAUUAGAAAAAUUGAAUUUAAUGAUGAGUUUAGUAUUUGCUAGUGUUGGGAAAAUGGAAGUACUGUGGUAGAAAAAGUAAGAUAGGUUCUGAAUUCAUCUAAGAAGGUAGAAAUAGAUUCUAAGGGGUGGUGAAGAACAGCAGCAAUGCUAUAAAAGUUGUAAAUAAAGAUACACCUUACCUGGGCUGUAUAUGAUAAGGAAUGGAAAUAUAAAGGUCUUAGUCAAAAGUGGCAGUGGGGCUUGAGAAGAGGAAUUCAGGUUAUUCCUUAUUCAGAAAUAGUUGAAUAAAUAACAUUCUCUAAGUUCUUGACACAUUAGUUUUAACUAGUUGUUAAAAUGAUUAGGAAGAGGAGAAAAUUUUGUAAGUGUUCUAAACUUUCUUUUAGAACAUGAGGCCCUUUGAGAAUCUGAUAAAAGCCAUAGACUUUCUUCCUAGAAAAAUACACAUACAUAUAUGCUUCAUUUUGCAUGCAAUUUCAGGGGAAUCAGAAACCUAUCCCCUCUUGCAGUGAGGAAUCCCUGAUAAAUACAAUAUUGCUGGCUGGUGGGUUUCUAAUGGGGUUUGUGAGUAGCCAGUGGAGAUAAAGAACCCUUGUCACUGGGCAGGGUGGUAGAAAUAGAAUGGAAACUUACAUCAAAAUUUUAAUAAAAUGAUAAAUACAGAAUUUAUUUAAUUAUUGUUAUACACUUAAUAUCAUUUAUUGUUAUAUUGUUAUUUUGCUUUAUCAAAGAAAACCAUGUUCUUUCCCAUAUUGUAAAAUAAGGUAUAUAAUAAGAGAUAAAAGUGCCCAUUCUGUAUACUAUUCUUAUGCUUUAUAUUUUCCCCAUUUUAAUUAUACAAAACCACAUGUAAUAAAACGUUAAGACAGGUAUCUACAGCCUCACAUGUUAAAUAAUUUUUUCUUUUUCCUUUGAAUCUCUGUUCUUAAAUGUACAUAAGUUUUGCAUUAUUGGGAUAAUUUUAAAUUCUAUUUCUUUUUACUUGUGAGCAUUUUUUCAUUGGUUGUCAAUCUUGACCAAAAUUAGGUCUUAAUACUUAAGAUUUUAGUAAUUUUAACAGGUAUACAUAGUUACCUGCAAAAGGUGAUAUUUUUGUUGUUUUGAUUUUCUCCUUCCUUUCCUAAAAUACAUCUCCCUGAAGUCUUCAUCUGUGCUCUCUUGACUCCCUUGUAGGAUUUGCCACUACUGAGUAAAGAUACUUUUCAAGUCUUUAUUUAAUGUCAUUUGGUCUUCACAGUAAUCCUGUGAGGUAGGUGAACAUUUCUUUGUGGUAGCAAUGGACUUUUCUGUCUUUUUCAGUCCUUUAACUUCUGCCCUAGUUUUAGGUCCUUAUUACGUAAUGCAUGGCUUUUCUCUCGGCUUUUAGGGACUUGCCCUUUCAUUUCAUCCUAUUCAGCACAUCUAGAUUAUUCUUCCUAAGGCAUAACUUUUAUCCCAUCACUUCCCUGCAUGAACGUCAGUGGGCUUUACAUCUUAGCCUUAAAAAUUUCCACCUAACUACGUUGUUAGCCAUAUUGUAAACUAUUUCUCUACAAAUACCCUGUCCCUCCAGUUAUCCUGUAUUGCUCCCCAUUCCUUGGACCAUGCGUUUUUUUUGUGUCUGAUUUUUCAUUUAUGCCAUACCCUAUGUCUGAAAUGCCCUCUCUCUAACUCCUGCCUGUUUUUCAAAUGUUAGAUCAAAGGUCAGUUCAUUCCCUUAAACCAUUCUUGAUAAGCUCAUAAGACUUUGUUUUCUCCCUCCUCUGAACUCUUACAACGCUUUUUCCUACAAGUAGUUAUGUAUCUUGCGGAGGAGAUAAGAUUUUAUAAGCCUAAAAGACUAAUAUAUUCCAGACAUCUUUUUGUUUUUAUCUUCCAUGUGUAGGCAAUCAGAAUCUUCUGAUUGUGAAAUGAAUGAUUAAGCCCUAUAACCUAACCAAAACAAAAGUCUAACAUAAUAAUUAAUAUUUGCUUCACUGCUAUACAUUUGGAAUUGAAAGCUAACUUUCUUCAAGGCAGCCUCAUAAGUUUGUCCAUUGCAUUUCUGUCAUUAGGCAUAUGGUACCGUGGUGGAGUAGCACCACUGAUUGUUGUCAGUUGUGGUUCAAUAACUAAAGCACACCUACUUUUGAUCCUAAAAUUUUCAAGUUACUUUAUUCUUGAGCAUCAUUUACUAAGAUAAAGUGACUUACAGGAUAAAAUUCUUUGAGGAAUAAGAUAUAAAAGUUUACUCUUUGUAGAAAUUUUAACUGCACACUGUAUUUUGACAUGUUCAUUAGAAUAAAGGAUAUUAGAGUAGGAAAAAACUGCAUCCUAAGGGUAUAGUUUCUUAGGUGCUGAUGUUUUGGGAGAGCAGCUUUUAAACUUACGCUUUUCAAAGCAUAUAGAAAAAGAGAAGGUGAGGCUUCAAUUUUGGUUUACUUAUCAAAUUGUUUUUACUGAUCUUGAGUAACUUAUACUAUAAGAUCAUUGUAAUAAUAUAUUCAUAUUUUUUAGUACAUGAAUAUUUGCUAAGUAUGAAUUCUUCCUUCAACUACUUUGACUAUAGUGUGCACUUAAAAACUUUGCGUGUGCACUUGUGCUUGCCUGCUACAGUUGCCAUAACACCACAGGUUGGGUGGCUUAUACAACAGAAAUGUAUUAUCUCACAAUUCUGGAACCCAUGAAGUCCAAAAUGAAGAUGUCAUUAGAGUUAUUUCUUCUGAGGCCUCUCUCCUUGUCUUAUAGAUGGCCAUCAAACUCUGUCUUCACAUGGUCUUUUCCUCUGUGUGUGUCUGUGUCCUGAUACCCUCUUCUUAGAAGUAUACUGGUCAUAUUGGAUUAAGGUCCACCCUAAUGACCUCAUUGAAUUUUAAUUACCUCUUUAAAGGCCCUGUCUCCAAAUAUAGUCACAUUCUGAAGUACUGGAGGUUAGGACUUCAACGUAUGAAUUUGUCGGGGCAAGGAGUACACAAUUGAAUUUUGCUUAGGAUUUCCUUGGCUAUUGGGAUUCUGUUUUGGUUCCAUAUGAAUUUUAAAAUAGUUGUUUCUAGCUCUGUGAACAAUGUCAGUGGGAGUUUAACAGGAAUAGCAUUGAAUCUAUAAAUUGCUUUGGGCAGUAUGGCCGUUUUAACUAUCCUAUCCAUGAUUCUUCUAUCCAUGAGCAUGAAAUGUUUUUCCAUUUGUUUGUGUCAUCUCUGAUUUCUUUGAGCAGUGUGUUGUAAUCCUCAUUGUAGAGACUUUUCACUUCCCUGGUUAGCUUUAUUCUUAGGCAUCAUAUUCUUUUUGUUGCUAUUGUGAAUGGGGUUAUAUUCUUGAUUUGACCCUCAGCGUGGACACCACUGGUGUAUAUAAAUGCUACUGAUUUUUUUACAUCUAUUUUGUAUCCUGAAACUUUGCUGAUGUUGUUUAUCAGAUAUAGCACUCCUUGGACAAGGACUAUGGGGUUUUCUAGGUGAUACCUAGAUGAUAUGAUGGCAUCAUAUUAUCUGUGAAGAGAGAGAGCUUGAUUUCCUCUCUUCCUAUUUGGAUGCCUUUUAUUUUUUUGUCUUGCCUGAUUGCUCUGGCUAGAACUUCCAGUAUUGUGUUGAAUAGGACUGGAGAGAGUGACAUCUUCAUCUUGUUCUGGUUCUCAAGGGGAAUGUUCUCAGCUUUUGCCAACUCAGUAUGCUGUUGCCUGUGGGUUUGUCUUAGAUGGCUCUCAUUACUUUGAGGUAUUUUGCUUCAAUGCCUAGUUAGUUUAUGAUUUUUUAACAUGAAGGGAUGUUGAACUCUGUCAAAAUUAUUUUGUGUGUUUAUUGAGAUGUUCAUUUGGUCUUUCUUUUUAGUUCUGUUUCUGGUGCUGAAUCACAUUUAUUGAUUUUCAUAUGGUGAACGAAACUUGCAUCUCAGGAAUAAAGCCUGCUUGGUCAUGGUGGAUUAGCUUUUUGUUGUGCCACUGAACUUGGUUUGCUAGUAUUUCAUUGAUGAUUUUUAAAUCUAUGUUGGUCGGAUAUAUUGGCCUGAAGUUUUCUUUUUUGUUGUUCUUGUAUCUCUGCCAGGUUUGGUAUCAGAAUGAUGUUGGCCUUACAGAAUGUGUUACACUAUUUUUUAAAUCGUUUGAAUGGGAUUGGUAACAGCUUUUCUGUAUACAUCUCGUGGAAUUUGGCUGUGAAUCUGUCUCUUCCAUGGCUUUUCCUGGUUGGUAGGCUUUUAUUACUGAUUCAAUUUAUGAACUCAUUUAUCUGUUGAGGGCUACACUUACUGGUUCAAUCUUGAGACGUUGUAUGUUUCUAGGAAUUUAUCCAUUUCUUCUGGGUUUUCUAGUUUGUGUGCAUACAGGUGU